RNAcentral lists this ribosomal RNA (753 nucleotides) under Bacillus sp. 9AR. Its description in RNAcentral is "bacterial SSU rRNA". It matches the Rfam family "Bacterial small subunit ribosomal RNA", at positions 56 to 793 of the family's 1533-position model. The record is from RNAcentral. Lineage: Bacteria; Bacillati; Bacillota; Bacilli; Caryophanales; Bacillaceae.
UGCAGUCGAGCGGACAGAAGGGAGCUUGCUCCCGGAUGUUAGCGGCGGACGGGUGAGUAACACGUGGGUAACCUGCCUGUAAGACUGGGAUAACUCCGGGAAACCGGAGCUAAUACCGGAUAGUUCCUUGAACCGCAUGGUUCAAGGAUGAAAGACGGUUUCGGCUGUCACUUACAGAUGGACCCGCGGCGCAUUAGCUAGUUGGUGAGGUAACGGCUCACCAAGGCGACGAUGCGUAGCCGACCUGAGAGGGUGAUCGGCCACACUGGGACUGAGACACGGCCCAGACUCCUACGGGAGGCAGCAGUAGGGAAUCUUCCGCAAUGGACGAAAGUCUGACGGAGCAACGCCGCGUGAGUGAUGAAGGUUUUCGGAUCGUAAAGCUCUGUUGUUAGGGAAGAACAAGUGCAAGAGUAACUGCUUGCACCUUGACGGUACCUAACCAGAAAGCCACGGCUAACUACGUGCCAGCAGCCGCGGUAAUACGUAGGUGGCAAGCGUUGUCCGGAAUUAUUGGGCGUAAAGGGCUCGCAGGCGGUUUCUUAAGUCUGAUGUGAAAGCCCCCGGCUCAACCGGGGAGGGUCAUUGGAAACUGGGAAACUUGAGUGCAGAAGAGGAGAGUGGAAUUCCACGUGUAGCGGUGAAAUGCGUAGAGAUGUGGAGGAACACCAGUGGCGAAGGCGACUCUCUGGUCUGUAACUGACGCUGAGGAGUGAAAGCGUGGGGAGCGAACAGGAUUAGAUACCCUGGUAG